UCUGCGUGUGUGUGUGUGUGUGUGUGUGUAUAUAUAUAUAUAUAUAUAUAUACGUACACACACACACACUCACAGACA
Molecule: non-coding RNA, 78 nt
Organism: Pelobates cultripes (western spadefoot toad)
Lineage: Eukaryota; Metazoa; Chordata; Amphibia; Anura; Pelobatidae
Source: the annotation of a GenBank genome assembly